RNAcentral lists this unclassified non-coding RNA (406 nucleotides) under soil metagenome. Its description in RNAcentral is "partial contains 5.8S ribosomal RNA, internal transcribed spacer 2, and large subunit ribosomal RNA". The stretch from base 1 to 121 matches the Rfam family "5.8S ribosomal RNA", at positions 35 to 154 of the family's 154-position model. The record is from RNAcentral.
GAUGAAGAACGCAGCGAAAUGCGAUAAGUAAUGUGAAUUGCAGAAUUCAGUGAAUCAUCGAAUCUUUGAACGCACCUUGCGCCCUUUGGACAUUCCGAAGGGCAUGCCUGUUUGAGUAUCAUGAACACCUCAACUCUCACGGCUUGUCCGUGAUGAGCUUGGACUUUGGGGGUCUUGCCGGCCUGUGGUCGGCUCCUCUCAAAUGGAUCAGCUUGCCAGUGUUUGGUGGCAUCACAGGUGUGAUAACUAUCUGCGCUUGUGGUUUUCCAUCAGAUAACCUUCAGUGAUAUGGAGGUUCGCUGGAGCUCACAAAUGUCUCUCCUUAGUGAGGACAGCUCUUUGAACGUUUGAUCUCAAAUCAGGUAGGACUACCCGCUGAACUUAAGCAUAUCAAUAAGCGGAGGGA